AAAACACAAACGAACGCUGGCGGCGUGCCUAACACAUGCAAGUCGAACGGAGUUGAGGGGCUUGCUCCUCAAUUUAGUGGCGCACGGGUGAGUAACGCGUAGAUAAUCUGCCUGAUGAUCUGGGAUAACACUUCGAAAGGGGUGCUAAUACCGGAUAAGCCCACGAUGUCUUUGGACAUUGCGGGAAAAGGGGGGGACUUUCGGGCCUUCUGUCAUCAGAUGAGUCUGCGUACCAUUAGCUAGUUGGUGGGGUAAGAGCCUACCAAGGCGACGAUGGUUAGCUGGUCUGAGAGGAUGAUCAGCCACACUGGAACUGAGACACGGUCCAG
Molecule: ribosomal RNA, 329 nt
Filed under: uncultured Geobacter sp.
Lineage: Bacteria; Pseudomonadati; Thermodesulfobacteriota; Desulfuromonadia; Geobacterales; Geobacteraceae
Description: bacterial SSU rRNA
Rfam family: Bacterial small subunit ribosomal RNA
Source: RNAcentral